UACAUGGGGUGCAACCGUUGCUCGGAAUUAUUGGGCGUAAAGCGCGCGUAGGCGGUUAUCUAAGUCGGAUGUGAAAGCCCUCGGCUUAACUGAGGAAGUGCACCCGAAACUGGAUAGCUAGAGUACGAAAGAGGGUCGCGGAAUUCCCGGUGUAGAGGUGAAAUUCGUAGAUAUCGAGAGGAACACCGGUGGCGAAGGCGGCCUUCUGGACAGUGACUGACGCUGAGACGCGAAAGCGUGGGGAGCAAACAGG
RNAcentral lists this ribosomal RNA (253 nucleotides) under uncultured bacterium. Its description in RNAcentral is "partial 16S ribosomal RNA". It matches the Rfam family "Bacterial small subunit ribosomal RNA", at positions 524 to 776 of the family's 1533-position model. The record is from RNAcentral.